This 759-nucleotide ribosomal RNA is filed under the name Bacillus licheniformis. RNAcentral describes it as "bacterial SSU rRNA". It matches the Rfam family "Bacterial small subunit ribosomal RNA", at positions 565 to 1324 of the family's 1533-position model. The record is from RNAcentral. Lineage: Bacteria; Bacillati; Bacillota; Bacilli; Caryophanales; Bacillaceae.
GCGCGCGCAGGCGGUUUCUUAAGUCUGAUGUGAAAGCCCCCGGCUCAACCGGGGAGGGUCAUUGGAAACUGGGGAACUUGAGUGCAGAAGAGGAGAGUGGAAUUCCACGUGUAGCGGUGAAAUGCGUAGAGAUGUGGAGGAACACCAGUGGCGAAGGCGACUCUCUGGUCUGUAACUGACGCUGAGGCGCGAAAGCGUGGGGAGCGAACAGGAUUAGAUACCCUGGUAGUCCACGCCGUAAACGAUGAGUGCUAAGUGUUAGAGGGUUUCCGCCCUUUAGUGCUGCAGCAAACGCAUUAAGCACUCCGCCUGGGGAGUACGGUCGCAAGACUGAAACUCAAAGGAAUUGACGGGGGCCCGCACAAGCGGUGGAGCAUGUGGUUUAAUUCGAAGCAACGCGAAGAACCUUACCAGGUCUUGACAUCCUCUGACAACCCUAGAGAUAGGGCUUCCCCUUCGGGGGCAGAGUGACAGGUGGUGCAUGGUUGUCGUCAGCUCGUGUCGUGAGAUGUUGGGUUAAGUCCCGCAACGAGCGCAACCCUUGAUCUUAGUUGCCAGCAUUCAGUUGGGCACUCUAAGGUGACUGCCGGUGACAAACCGGAGGAAGGUGGGGAUGACGUCAAAUCAUCAUGCCCCUUAUGACCUGGGCUACACACGUGCUACAAUGGGCAGAACAAAGGGCAGCGAAGCCGCGAGGCUAAGCCAAUCCCACAAAUCUGUUCUCAGUUCGGAUCGCAGUCUGCAACUCGACUGCGUGAA